ACGAACGCUGGCGGCAGGCCUAAUACAUGCAAGUCGAGCGCGCCCUUCGGGGUGAGCGGCGGACGGGUGAGUAACGCGUGGGAAUAUGCCCUUCUCUAAGGAAUAGCCUCUGGAAACGGAGAGUAAUACCUUAUACGCCCUUUGGGGGAAAGAUUUAUCGGAGAGGGAUUAGCCCGCGUUAGAUUAGGUAGUUGGUGGGGUAAUGGCCUACCAAGCCUACGAUCUAUAGCUGGUUUGAGAGGAUGAUCAGCCACACUGGGACUGAGACACGGCCCAGACUCCUACGGGAGGCAGCAGUGGGGAAUCUUGC
Molecule: ribosomal RNA, 310 nt
Filed under: uncultured Rhodobacterales bacterium
Lineage: Bacteria; Pseudomonadati; Pseudomonadota; Alphaproteobacteria; Rhodobacterales
Description: SSU rRNA
Rfam family: Bacterial small subunit ribosomal RNA
Source: RNAcentral